Molecule: ribosomal RNA, 372 nt
Filed under: uncultured organism
Description: bacterial SSU rRNA
Rfam family: Bacterial small subunit ribosomal RNA
Source: RNAcentral
CGAGUGCCUCAAGCGUUAUCCGGAAUCAUUGGGCGUAAAGGGUGUGUAGGUGGCCGCAUUAGUCUUUUGUUAAAUUUCCAGGCACAACCUGGAACAUGCGAAGGAAACGGUGCGACUAGAGGAUGCAAGGGGUCUGCGGAACUCAUAGUGUAGCGGUGAAAUGCGUUGAUAUUAUGGGGAACACCAAAAGCGAAGGCAGCAGACUAGGGCACUCCUGACACUGAGACACGAAAGCGUGGGUAGCGAAUGGGAUUAGAUACCCCAGUAGUCCACGCCCUAAACGAUCUUUUCUAGCGAUUUGGAGUAUCGACCCUCUGAGUGGCGUAGCUAACGCGUUAAGAAAAGCGCCUGGGUAGUACGACCGCAAGGUUA